RNAcentral lists this ribosomal RNA (292 nucleotides) under uncultured bacterium. RNAcentral's name for it is "partial 16S ribosomal RNA". It matches the Rfam family "Bacterial small subunit ribosomal RNA", at positions 505 to 796 of the family's 1533-position model. The record is from RNAcentral.
GUGUCAGCAGCCGCGGUAAUACAGAGGGUGCAAGCGUUAUUCGGAAUUAUUGGGCGUAAAGAGCGCGUAGGCGGUUUAGCAAGUCUAAUGUGAAAUCCCUGAACUCAAUUCAGGAAGUGCAUCGGAUACUGCUAGGCUUGAGUACAGGAGAGGAAGGCGGAAUUCCAGGUGUAGAGGUGAAAUUCGUAGAUAUCUGGAGGAACAACAGAGGCGAAGGCGGCCUUCUGGACUGUCACUGACGCUGAGGCGCGAAAGUGUGGGGAGCAAACAGGAUUAGAUACCCUGGUAGUCC